UGGAGCAUAAAGAGCAGACAGAUUGGACC
This 29-nucleotide non-coding RNA is filed under the name Rattus norvegicus (Norway rat). Lineage: Eukaryota; Metazoa; Chordata; Mammalia; Rodentia; Muridae. The record is from RNAcentral.